This 492-nucleotide ribosomal RNA is filed under the name uncultured bacterium. RNAcentral's name for it is "partial 16S ribosomal RNA". It matches the Rfam family "Bacterial small subunit ribosomal RNA", at positions 29 to 507 of the family's 1533-position model. The record is from RNAcentral.
AUUGAACGCUGGCGGCAUGCUUUACACAUGCAAGUCGAACGGUAACAGGCCUUCGGGUGCUGACGAGUGGCGAACGGGUGAGUAAUGCAUCGGAACGUACCCAGAGGUGGGGGAUAACGCAGCGAAAGCUGUGCUAAUACCGCAUGUGAUCUGAGGAUGAAAGCGGGGGACCGAGCAGCAAUGUUUGGCCUCGCGCCUUUGGAGCGGCCGAUGUCGGAUUAGCUAGUUGGUGGGGUAAAGGCCUACCAAGGCGACGAUCCGUAGCUGGUCUGAGAGGACGACCAGCCACAUGGGGACUGAGACACGGCCCAGACUCCUACGGGAGGCAGCAGUGGGGAAUUUUGGACAAUGGGCGCGAGCCUGAUCCAGCAAUGCCGCGUGCGGGAAGAAGGCCUUCGGGUUGUAAACCGCUUUUGGCAGGAACGAAACGGUGUCCGCUAAUACCGGGCGCUAAUGACGGUACCUGCAGAAUAAGCACCGGCUAACUACGUG